UACGGAGGGUGCGAGCGUUGUCCGGAAUUACUGGGCGUAAAGCGUGCGCAGGCGGCGCGUUAAGACAGGUGUGAAAGCCCCGAGCUUAACUUGGGAAUUGCGCUUGUGACUGGCGAGCUGGAGUGUGGCAGAGGGAGGUGGAAUUCCACGUGUAGCAGUGAAAUGCGUAGAGAUGUGGAGGAACACCGAUGGCGAAGGCAGCCUCCUGGGCCAGCACUGACGCUCAUGCACGAAAGCGUGGGGAGCAAACAGG
RNAcentral lists this ribosomal RNA (253 nucleotides) under uncultured bacterium. RNAcentral's name for it is "partial 16S ribosomal RNA". It matches the Rfam family "Bacterial small subunit ribosomal RNA", at positions 524 to 776 of the family's 1533-position model. The record is from RNAcentral.